AUUGAACGCUGGCGGCAGGCUUAACACAUGCAAGUCGAGCGGUAACAGAGAUAGCUUGCUAUCUGCUGACGAGCGGCGGACGGGUGAGUAAUGCUUGGGAAUAUGCCUUUAGGUGGGGGACAACAGUUGGAAACGACUGCUAAUACCGCAUAACGUCUACGGACCAAAGGGGGGGAUCUUCGGACCUCUCGCCUAUAGAUUAGCCCAAGUGAGAUUAGCUAGUUGGUGAGGUAAAGGCUCACCAAGGCGACGAUCUCUAGCUGGUUUGAGAGGAUGAUCAGCCACACUGGGACUGAGACACGGCCCAGACUCCUACGGGAGGCAGCAGUGGGGAAUAUUGCACAAUGGGCGAAAGCCUGAUGCAGCCAUGCCGCGUGUGUGAAGAAGGCCUUCGGGUUGUAAAGCACUUUCAGUUGUGAGGAAAGGAGUGUAGUUAAUAGCUGCAUUCUAUGACGUUAGCAACAGAAGAAGGACCGGCUAACUCCGUGCCAGCAGCCGCGGUAAUACGGAGGGUCCGAGCGUUAAUCGGAAUUACUGGGCGUAAAGCGUGCGUAGGCGGUUUGUUAAGUGAGAUGUGAAAUCCCGGGGCUCAACCUCGGAACUGCAUUUCAAACUGGCAAGCUAGAGUACUGUAGAGGGUGGUGGAAUUUCCAGUGUAGCGGUGAAAUGCGUAGAGAUUGGAAGGAACAUCAGUGGCGAAGGCGGCCUGGACAGAUACUGACGCUGAGGCACGAAAGCGUGGGGAGCAAACAGGAUUAGAUACCCUGGUAGUCCACGCCGUAAACGAUGUCUACUAGCCGUUGGGGAGCUUGUCUCUUUAGUGGCGCAGCUAACGCAUUAAGUAGACCGCCUGGGGAGUACGGUCGCAAGAUUAAAACUCAAAUGAAUUGACGGGGGCCCGCACAAGCGGUGGAGCAUGUGGUUUAAUUCGACGCAACGCGAAGAACCUUACCUACUCUUGAAAUCCAGAGAAUUUAGCAGAGAUGCUUUAGUGCCUUCGGGAACUCUGAGACAGGUGCUGCAUGGCUGUCGUCAGCUCGUGUUGUGAAAUGUUGGGUUAAGUCCCGUAACGAGCGCAACCCUUAUCUUUAGUUACCAGCGAGUAAUGUCGGGAACUCUAGGGAGACUGCCGGUGAUAAACCGGAGGAAGGUGGGGACGACGUCAAGUCAUCAUGGCCCUUACGAGUAGGGCUACACACGUGCUACAAUGGUACAUACAAAGGGUUGCGAAGCCGCGAGGUCGAGCCAAUCCCAAAAAGUGUAUCGUAGUCCGGAUCGGAGUCUGCAACUCGACUCCGUGAAGUCGGAAUCGCUAGUAAUCGUAGAUCAGAAUGCUACGGUGAAUACGUUCCCGGGCCUUGUACACACCGCCCGUCACACCAUGGGAGUGGGCUGCACCAGAAGUAGAUAGCUUAACCCUUCGGGGGGGGGUUACCACUUUGUGAUUCAUGACUGGGGUG
RNAcentral lists this ribosomal RNA (1460 nucleotides) under uncultured prokaryote. RNAcentral describes it as "partial 16S ribosomal RNA". It matches the Rfam family "Bacterial small subunit ribosomal RNA". The record is from RNAcentral.